ACGGAGGGGGCCAGCGUUGUUCGGAAUUAUUGGGCGUAAAGGGCGCGUAGGCGGCCUGGUAAGUCAGUUGUGAAAGCCCUCGGCUCAACCGAGGAAUUGCGACUGAUACUGCCGGGCUUGAGUCCCGGAGAGGGUAGUGGAAUUCCCAGUGUAGCGGUGAAAUGCGUAGAUACUGGGAGGAACAUCAGUGGCGAAGGCGACUACCUGGACGGGUACUGACGCUGAGGCGCGAAAGCGUGGGGAGCAAACAGG
This 252-nucleotide ribosomal RNA is filed under the name uncultured bacterium. RNAcentral's name for it is "partial 16S ribosomal RNA". It matches the Rfam family "Bacterial small subunit ribosomal RNA", at positions 525 to 776 of the family's 1533-position model. The record is from RNAcentral.